GAUGAACGCUGGCGGCGUGCCUAAUACAUGCAAGUCGAGCGAACAGACGAGGAGCUUGCUCCUCUGACGUUAGCGGCGGACGGGUGAGUAACACGUGGAUAACCUACCUAUAAGACUGGGAUAACUUCGGGAAACCGGAGCUAAUACCGGAUAAUAUAUUCAACCGCAUGGUUCAAUAGUGAAAGACGGUUUUGCUGUCACUUAUAGAUGGAUCCGCGCCGCAUUAGCUAGUUGGUAAGGUAACGGCUUACCAAGGCGACGAUGCGUAGCCGACCUGAGAGGGUGAUCGGCCACACUGGAACUGAGACACGGUCCAGACUCCUACGGGAGGCAGCAGUAGGGAAUCUUCCGCAAUGGGCGAAAGCUUGACGGAGCAACGCCGCGUGAGUGAUGAAGGUCUUCGGAUCGUAAAACUCUGUUAUUAGGGAAGAACAAAUGUGUAAGUAACUAUGCACGUCUUGACGGUACCUAAUCAGAAAGCCACGGCUAACUACGUG
RNAcentral lists this ribosomal RNA (497 nucleotides) under uncultured bacterium. Its description in RNAcentral is "partial 16S ribosomal RNA". It matches the Rfam family "Bacterial small subunit ribosomal RNA", at positions 28 to 507 of the family's 1533-position model. The record is from RNAcentral.